GGGCCUACGGGGGGCAGCAGUGGGGAAUAUUGCGCAAUGGGCGAAAGCCUGACGCAGCGACGCCGCGUGAGGGAUGAAGGUCUUCGGAUCGUAAACCUCUGUCAGGAGGGAAGAAGUGGUUAUAUGCGAAUAGUGUAUGACUUUGACGGUACCUCCAAAGGAAGCACCGGCUAACUCCGUGCCAGCAGCCGCGGUAAUACGGAGGGUGCGAGCGUUAUCCGGAAUGAUUGGGCGUAAAGGGUGCGUAGGCGGCCUGCUAAGUCUGGAGUGAAAGGUACCGGCUCAACCGGUACAGGCUCUGGAAA
Molecule: ribosomal RNA, 305 nt
Filed under: uncultured bacterium
Lineage: Bacteria
Description: bacterial SSU rRNA
Rfam family: Bacterial small subunit ribosomal RNA
Source: RNAcentral